Molecule: ribosomal RNA, 433 nt
Filed under: uncultured bacterium
Lineage: Bacteria
Description: partial 16S ribosomal RNA
Rfam family: Bacterial small subunit ribosomal RNA
Source: RNAcentral
AACGAACGCUGGCGGCAUGCCUAACACAUGCAAGUCGAACGAGACCUCCGGGUCUAGUGGCGCACGGGUGCGUAACGCGUGGGAACCUGCACUUAGGUUCGGAAUAACUCCCCGAAAGGGGUGCUAAUACAGGAUAAUGUCUUCGGACCAAAGAUUUAUCGCCUUUGGAUGGGCCCGCGUUGGAUUAGCUAGUUGGUAGGGUAAAAGCCUACCAAGGCGACGAUCCAUAGCUGGUCUGAGAGGAUGAUCAGCCACACUGGGACUGAGACACGGCCCAGACUCCUACGGGAGGCAGCAGUGGGGAAUAUUGGACAAUGGGCGAAGGCCUGAUCCAGCAAUGCCGCGUGAGUGAUGAAGGCCUUAGGGUUGUAAAGCUCUUUUACCCGGGAUGAUAAUGACAGUACCGGGAGAAUAAGCUCCGGCUAACUCCGUG